UGAUCUCUAUGAAGAUGUAGAGCUAAGGCUGGCUGGAGGGUCAAGGGUAGAGUAAAAAUGAAUUCAGCUUUAUUUUCAUGUUUCAGUGACACACUCAGAAGACACUCCUCAUUCAGCUGGAUAUACUUGGCAGCAAGAGACAGAGUUGAAGAAAAAGAUUUGGGAGAAACAUCUGGAGCAGGCAGUAUGAAGUAAAGAAAUUCCAUUGUUUUAUCUCAGCUGAUGAAAGAGUUCAAGAAGAAAUGAUCAACAUGAACUGUAGAUACAAGAAAGCACUGAUAGAAUAUCCAUGUUAGUUAGUGGGUCAUUUAAAAGCUGAGAGCAGAAGAAAUUUUAGAAGUGUCUUUAAAAUUUUUUAUUUAACAGGGUACAGAAGGUGUGAUGAUUCAGAAGUAAUGAGUCAUUUAAAAAUAAUAAAACUAUUGCUUUGCCUGGAAAACAUGGGCAAUCAUUCAUGAAUGACUCAAUAUGGAAACUGCUUCUAAGAGAAGAGUCAAGAGGAAUACAAAACAGGUACCCAUAGAACUACUUGGUGGAUAAAAUGACGAGACCUGGGAUAUUCAAUUUAUUUUCACUUCAAAUAUAGUUGAGAAAAUAAAUUGACAAAGGGAACUCGUCUCAAAAGGGAUUACUUUCUGAUGUUCAAAGAAACUAUGUAUGUAAUAUGAAAGAAAAAUUAACACUUUAGAUUUAGUAAUAUAAUAAUAUUCCAGGAGCAGGCCUAAUUUGAGCAUAUAGAAAUUAGGAAGUGCUUUAAAACUUACUUUUAUCUUUCUUCCCGUAGAGGAACAAAGUGUGGUUAAGGGAAAAGCAUCAGGUGGGCAGUAAGGAGCUCCUGGUCCAGCUUCAGCUUCUGUACUGUCUACUUUGGUAGUCUGAUAACUUGGUCAAGUUACUUCAGUCACCGAGAUUUCACCUUCUCCUCUGCGGGGUGGGAAAAAAACAUGCUGAAAGAUGGCUCUGAGGUCCAGACAACAUGAGAAAAACAAAACUUGUUUUUUUUUCUUGGUUUCAAUUAGGAAAAUGUUAUAUUUUGCCAGCAAACUAUUUUUUAUUAUUUGAUGGAAGAUAAUGAACUGGCUAUUCAUAUUUAAUUGCAAAACUAUGGAUUUCCCUGAGAACUGGCUCCAAAAUAAAAAUUUGUGGUUAAGCUUAUAUAGUUUUGUAAUUAAAAAAAAUUCUCAGGCUAGGGGUGCAGCUCAAUGGUAAAGCACUUGUGUAGCUUUUGUGAGACCUCGAGUUCAAUGCCUAGUGCAUGUGUGUGCACACAAAAAAUUUCUAUUAUAUAUUCCAAAACAUCACAAUAGUUGUCUCUGUCUAGCUGAUAGUAUUUUAAAUCACACAUUUUCCUUUUCUAAAUAUUUUUCUUAAUUUGGAGAUCAUAUAAAAAUCAGAUAGCAUUCUCUAUGGGGGAAAAAUCACUUGGGACAGUUUAGAAGAACAUGUAUACUGUUUAAUAAACAUUUGAGUACUACCUCAGACUAGGUACUCUUCGAGAUAGCCCAAUUCUACAGUAUUACCUCAUGUAGCUCUCAGUGUGAGUGGGGAGAAAAAGAGGAUACCUAAUCUUUAGGUGGAGGAAAGAGUUCCCAAGAGGGGGGACAACUAAACCCAGUCCUGGAGAACAGUAGAAGUAGUUGACCACAGGAAAGAAGGGGAAAUGCUGGGUGAGCAGAGGGAGCAAUACAGAAGGUGGCAUGGGAGUUACCAGGAGUUUGGUUUUAUAUUCAAGUGUCAAGCUGGCUUCCAGGAGCCAAAGCUAAAGGGGUAGGACAGAGGUAACUGCUUCAGAGAACUCUUUUUCAAAUGGAGAGGGAGGAGAAACAUGGUUGGAUUUAAACUGUAGGUAGAGCACUUUAUGUAGUACUGUGGAGGACAGACUUAGGAAAGCAAGACAAAGUGAAGUAAGCCAGGUAGAAGGCCUCUGCAGACUCCAGAGAGAAUCCAUGAGGGGGUAACUGGCUUAAGUGACUAACUCAUGAUCAGAAAACUAUGAGCAGAAUUUACCUUUAAAUUCUGUGCCUUCCUACACCCUGGUGUAAGCACAAAUUCUGGUCAAAGCUGAAAAGAGAUCUUAAUUUUAUCUUUAUUAUGUAAACUAUGGAUAUAUUUCUUAAAAAUACUUCGUUCAUUAAUUUAUCUUAAGUACCAAAAUGUUCAGCACACUGCAGAAAACAAGUCGUCUUCUGUCUUGUAGGAAUUUAUGGGAUAAAAGAAAUGAGAAAAAAAGAAUAGGUAAAUUAAUUCAAUAGUUAUUUACUGAGCUCCUCCUGAACCGUGAUGGAGAUAACAUUUUAAAGACAGUUCCUUUUAGGACAUAAUUUUUAUGGCCUUCUUUGCUUUCCUGAGGAGUUCAUUGUGACACAAGAGAACAGAGAAUUCACAGAGCCAAGUAGGCAAUUCUAGGGUAAAAUAAACAGAAGCACAGGGUCAGAGAAAAUUUGCUUGAAUUGGAUAAGAGAAAAAUCCCAAAGAAUGGUAUAGGUGGCAGUGACAUGGAGAGGAACCUGGAACUGACUUUGGCACAUGACAAAUGAUUUCUGGUUUUUGUUUUAAAUAGGUUUAAUCAUGAUAGAAGUAAUGACUAUAGAAGUAAGACAUACUGGAAUAAAGUCAGAAAGACAAAGAAAGCAACAAAGAUCAAAGAGGUAGUGUCAAUGUGUCAAAAAAUAUCCUUUUUGGGUUUAAACAUACAUAUAUACAUGAACAGGCAUGAGUUUUUUUGUGUAUUUCUUUAAAACAAAAGUGAGAUUAUAGCUUAUUUCCUGUUUUCCCCA
Marmota monax (woodchuck) is the source of this 2777-nucleotide long non-coding RNA. RefSeq lists it as uncharacterized. The transcript has 2 exons. The record is from RefSeq and is a predicted model, not a curated record. Lineage: Eukaryota; Metazoa; Chordata; Mammalia; Rodentia; Sciuridae.